This 499-nucleotide ribosomal RNA is filed under the name uncultured bacterium. RNAcentral describes it as "bacterial SSU rRNA". It matches the Rfam family "Bacterial small subunit ribosomal RNA", at positions 29 to 517 of the family's 1533-position model. The record is from RNAcentral.
AACAAACGCUGGCGGCGUGUCUUAAGCAUGCAAGUUGAGCGGCAAGGAGGAGAGAUCCUCCCUAGAGCGGCGGACUGGUGAGUAACGCGUGGGUAAUCUAUCGUAGGCAUGGGGAUAGUCACUAGAAAUAGUGGGUAAUACCGAAUACGUUCCAUGAGGGGAGUACUUAUGGAAGAAAGGGUGCUAUGGCACUGGCCUUAGGUGAGCUCGCGUCCCAUUAGCUAGUUGGUGAGGUAAAGGCCCACCAAGGCGAUGAUGGGUAGCCGGCCUGAGAGGGUGUACGGCCACACUGGGACUGAGAUACGGCCCAGACUCCUACGGGAGGCAGCAGCUAAGAAUAUUCCGCAAUGGACGAAAGUCUGACGGAGCGACGCCGCGUGGAUGAAGAAGGCCGAAAGGUUGUAAAGUUCUUUUGCUAGGGGAGAAUAAGUGAGGGAGGAAUGCCCUCAUGAUGACAAGGACUAGCGAAUAAGCCCCGGCAACUACGUGCCAGCAGCCG